UGGGGAAUUUUGGACAAUGGGCGAAAGCCUGAUCCAGCAAUGCCGCGUGUGUGAAGAAGGCCUUCGGGUUGUAAAGCACUUUUGUCCGGAAAGAAAUCCUUGGCUCUAAUACAGCCGGGGGAUGACGGUACCGGAAGAAUAAGCACCGGCUAACUACGUGCCAGCAGCCGCGGUAAUACGUAGGGUGCAAGCGUUAAUCGGAAUUACUGGGCGUAAAGCGUGCGCAGGCGGUUUGCUAAGACCGAUGUGAAAUCCCCGGGCUCAACCUGGGAACUGCAUUGGUGACUGGCAGGCUAGAGUAUGGCAGAGGGGGGUAGAAUUCCACGUGUAGCAGUGAAAUGCGUAGAGAUGUGGAGGAAUACCGAUGGCGAAGGCAGCCCCCUGGGCCAAUACUGACGCUCAUGCACGAAAGCGUGGGGAGCAAACAGGAUUAGAUACCCUGGUAGUCCACGCCCUAAACGAUGUCAACUAGUUGUUGGGGAUUCAUUUCCUUAGUAACGUAGCUAACGCGUGAAGUUGACCGCCUGGGGAGUACGGUCGCAAGAUUAAAACUUCAAAUGAAUUGACGGGGUCAUAGCUGUUUCCU
RNAcentral lists this ribosomal RNA (586 nucleotides) under uncultured bacterium. RNAcentral's name for it is "partial 16S ribosomal RNA". It matches the Rfam family "Bacterial small subunit ribosomal RNA", at positions 355 to 1375 of the family's 1533-position model. The record is from RNAcentral.